Molecule: long non-coding RNA, 695 nt
Organism: Antechinus flavipes (yellow-footed antechinus)
Lineage: Eukaryota; Metazoa; Chordata; Mammalia; Dasyuromorphia; Dasyuridae
Exons: 6
Source: RefSeq, a predicted model, not a curated record
CACCUUCCUUCACUCCGUCCCCCGGCCCCAAAGAAGCACCAACGCCCACUACGGUGGCUUCCGUGGGACAUAAACCCCAGGCCUCCGACAGGGCUGGAACCUGACAGAACUACUCCGGAGGCUUGUUUUUGUUAACAUGGUAGUACCUGCACUUUGCUCUAGACCAGACCAGAGCAGACUACCCUCCUGAAGUCCUUUUUUUUGUGGGUCUUGGCCUGUACCAGCAACCUCUGCUCAUCUUAAACUUUGUUUUUAUGAGACAUGUUGAUCACAAGCCAGCACAGUGACAUGACAGAGGAAGACUUCAGUUAUCUGAAUGGACAGCUGCUGAAGGGAGGAUUCCCUCUUCCAGAAGUGGAGCAGGACACACAUCAGACUAUAUCCAGUUUUGUUGUCUAUCACAGAAGUAUCAGUUACAUGUUCCCUCAAGGUGGACAUCAUUUCCCGUUCAUCAGUUGUGGACUUCUGCCUGGGUACUUUCCUGUCUAAGGCCAUGAUGCUUCUGUGACAAGUUGGAGCUAUAUAAAGAAGGGAUAAUCAUAACCAUGGUGAGGAAAAGUCUGGAGACCAUGUCAAUUGAGGAAUGGGAUAUUUAGCCUGGAGAAGAGACUUGAAGAGAUAUAAUAGCUGUCUAAGUAUAUGAAGGCCUGUCUUUCUAAGAUGGAUUAAACUUGAUGUUCUCUUUGGCUUCAGAA